AUGUCAUUUGGUCUGACUAACACACCUGCAUAUUUCAUGAACAUGAUGAACAAGGUGUUUAUGGAGUUUCUGGAUAAGUUCGCCGUGGUGUUCAUUGAUGAUAUUUUGGUCUACUCAAAGAAUGAAGAGGAGCACAAGGAGCAUUUGCGUUUGGUACUCGAGAAGCUCAGAGAACAUCAGUUAUAUGCCAAGUUCAGCAAAUGUGAGUUUUGGUUGAAGGAAGUUGUAUUCCUCGGACAUGUUAUAUCCAGAGAAGGAAUAGCAGUAGACCCCACCAAGGUUGUCACUGUGACAAACUGGGAAUCACCCACGUCAGUUGGAGAGAUCCAGAGUUUUCUUGGACUCGCAGGAUACUACCGAAGGUUCAUUGAGAAUUUCUCGAAAACUGUGAAGCCCAUGACGGAGUUGUUGAAGAAGGAUACCAAGUUCAAAUGGACUGAAGAAUGUGAGGCCAGUUUCCAGGAGUUGAAGAAACGUUUGGUUACAUCGCCAGUGUUGAUUCUGCCAGAUCAGCGCAAGGAUUAUGAGGUGUAUUGCGACGCUUCACGUCGAGGACUUGGAGCAGUGCUUAUGCAGGAGGGAAGAGUUGUUUCGUAUGCCUCACGACAGCUU
Molecule: ribosomal RNA, 612 nt
Filed under: Triticum aestivum (bread wheat)
Lineage: Eukaryota; Viridiplantae; Streptophyta; Magnoliopsida; Poales; Poaceae
Description: partial small subunit ribosomal RNA
Source: RNAcentral